This 2934-nucleotide ribosomal RNA is filed under the name Pectobacterium brasiliense. RNAcentral's name for it is "23S ribosomal RNA". It matches the Rfam family "Bacterial large subunit ribosomal RNA". The record is from RNAcentral. Lineage: Bacteria; Pseudomonadati; Pseudomonadota; Gammaproteobacteria; Enterobacterales; Pectobacteriaceae.
GGGUUGUGAGGUUAAGCGACUAAGCGUACACGGUGGAUGCCUAGGCAGUCAGAGGCGAUGAAGGGCGUGCUAAUCUGCGAUAAGCGUCGGUAAGCUGAUAUGAAGCGUUAUACCCGACGAUACCCGAAUGGGGAAACCCAGUGUGUUUCGACACACUAUCAUGACAUGAAUACAUAGUGUCAUGAGGCGAACCGGGGGAACUGAAACAUCUCAGUACCCCGAGGAAAAGAAAUCAACCGAGAUUCCCCCAGUAGCGGCGAGCGAACGGGGAGGAGCCCAGAACCUGAAUCAGUUUGUGUGUUAGUGGAAGCGUCUGGAAAGUCGCACAGUAAAGGGUGAUAGUCCCGUACACAAAAAUGCACAAGUUGUGAGUUCGAUGAGUAGGGCGGGACACGUGACAUCCUGUCUGAAUAUGGGGGGACCAUCCUCCAAGGCUAAAUACUCCUGACUGACCGAUAGUGAACCAGUACCGUGAGGGAAAGGCGAAAAGAACCCCGGCGAGGGGAGUGAAAUAGAACCUGAAACCGUGUACGUACAAGCAGUGGGAGCCUACUUGUUAGGUGACUGCGUACCUUUUGUAUAAUGGGUCAGCGACUUAUAUUCUGUAGCAAGGUUAACCGUAUAGGGGAGCCGCAGGGAAACCGAGUCUUAACUGGGCGUUAAGUUGCAGGGUAUAGACCCGAAACCCGGUGAUCUAGCCAUGGGCAGGUUGAAGGUUGGGUAACACUAACUGGAGGACCGAACCGACUAAUGUUGAAAAAUUAGCGGAUGACUUGUGGCUGGGGGUGAAAGGCCAAUCAAACCGGGAGAUAGCUGGUUCUCCCCGAAAGCUAUUUAGGUAGCGCCUCGUGAAUUCAUCUUCGGGGGUAGAGCACUGUUUCGGCUAGGGGGUCAUCCCGACUUACCAACCCGAUGCAAACUACGAAUACCGAAGAAUGUUAUCACGGGAGACACACGGCGGGUGCUAACGUUCGUCGUGAAGAGGGAAACAACCCAGACCGCCAGCUAAGGUCCCAAAGUCAUGGUUAAGUGGGAAACGAUGUGGGAAGGCAUAGACAGCCAGGAUGUUGGCUUAGAAGCAGCCAUCAUUUAAAGAAAGCGUAAUAGCUCACUGGUCGAGUCGGCCUGCGCGGAAGAUGUAACGGGGCUAAACCAUGCACCGAAGCUGCGGCAGCGACACUUAGGUGUUGUUGGGUAGGGGAGCGUUCUGUAAGCCUGCGAAGGUGGCCUGUGAGGGCUGCUGGAGGUAUCAGAAGUGCGAAUGCUGACAUAAGUAACGAUAAUGCGGGUGAAAAACCCGCACGCCGGAAGACCAAGGGUUCCUGUCCAACGUUAAUCGGGGCAGGGUGAGUCGACCCCUAAGGCGAGGCUGAAAAGCGUAGUCGAUGGGAAACAGGUUAAUAUUCCUGUACUCGGUGUUACUGCGAAGGGGGGACGGAGAAAGCUAGGUUAUCCGGGCGACGGUUGUCCCGGUUUAAGCGUGAAGGUGGGUGACUUUGGUAAAUCCGGGUCAUCGUUAACACUGAGGCGUGAUGACGAGUCACUACGGUGAUGAAGUAACCGAUGCUACGCUUCCAGGAAAAGCCUCUAAGCUCCAGGUAACAUCAAAUCGUACCCCAAACCGACACAGGUGGUCAGGUAGAGAAUACUCAGGCGCUUGAGAGAACUCGGGUGAAGGAACUAGGCAAAAUGGUGCCGUAACUUCGGGAGAAGGCACGCUGAUGGUAGGUGAAGUGACUUGCUCAUGGAGCUGAAAUCAGUCGAAGAUACCAGCUGGCUGCAACUGUUUAAUAAAAACACAGCACUGUGCAAACACGAAAGUGGACGUAUACGGUGUGACGCCUGCCCGGUGCCGGAAGGUUAAUUGAUGGGGUCAGCCGCAAGGCGAAGCUCUUGAUCGAAGCCCCGGUAAACGGCGGCCGUAACUAUAACGGUCCUAAGGUAGCGAAAUUCCUUGUCGGGUAAGUUCCGACCUGCACGAAUGGCGUAAUGAUGGCCAGGCUGUCUCCACCCGAGACUCAGUGAAAUUGAACUCGCUGUGAAGAUGCAGUGUACCCGCGGCAAGACGGAAAGACCCCGUGAACCUUUACUAUAGCUUGACACUGAACCUUGAGCCUUGAUGUGUAGGAUAGGUGGGAGGCUUUGAAGCGUGGACGCCAGUCUGCGUGGAGCCAACCUUGAAAUACCACCCUUUAAUGUUUGAUGUUCUAACGUGGACCCGUAAUCCGGGUUGCGGACAGUGUCUGGUGGGUAGUUUGACUGGGGCGGUCUCCUCCCAAAGCGUAACGGAGGAGCACGAAGGUUAGCUAAUCCUGGUCGGACAUCAGGAGGUUAGUGCAAAGGCAUAAGCUAGCUUGACUGCGAGAGUGACAGCUCGAGCAGGUGCGAAAGCAGGUCUUAGUGAUCCGGUGGUUCUGAAUGGAAGGGCCAUCGCUCAACGGAUAAAAGGUACUCCGGGGAUAACAGGCUGAUACCGCCCAAGAGUUCAUAUCGACGGCGGUGUUUGGCACCUCGAUGUCGGCUCAUCACAUCCUGGGGCUGAAGUAGGUCCCAAGGGUAUGGCUGUUCGCCAUUUAAAGUGGUACGCGAGCUGGGUUUAGAACGUCGUGAGACAGUUCGGUCCCUAUCUGCCGUGGGCGUUGGAAGAUUGAGAGGGGUUGCUCCUAGUACGAGAGGACCGGAGUGAACGCACCACUGGUGUACGGGUUGUGAUGCCAAUUGCAUUGCCCGGUAGCUAAGUGCGGAAGAGAUAACCGCUGAAAGCAUCUAAGCGGGAAACUUGCCUCGAGAUGAGUCUUCCCUGGGUACUUGAUACCCCUGAAGGGCCGUUGAAGACGACGACGUAGAUAGGCUGGGUGUGUAAGCGUAGCGAUACGUUGAGCUGACCAGUACUAAUGACCCGAGAGGCUUAACCUUACAACACCGAAGGUGUUU